This 626-nucleotide ribosomal RNA is filed under the name uncultured bacterium. RNAcentral describes it as "bacterial SSU rRNA". It matches the Rfam family "Bacterial small subunit ribosomal RNA", at positions 530 to 1163 of the family's 1533-position model. The record is from RNAcentral.
GGGUGCAAGCGUUAUCCGGAUUCACUGGGUUUAAAGGGUGCGUANGCGGGCAGGUAAGUCAGUGGUGAAAUCCUGGAGCUCAACUCCAGAACUGCCAUUGAUACUAUCUUUCUUGAAUAUUGUGGAGGUAAGCGGAAUAUGUCAUGUAGCGGUGAAAUGCUUAGAUAUGACAUAGAACACCUAUUGCGAAGGCAGCUUACUACGCAUAUAUUGACGCUGAGGCACGAAAGCGUGGGGAUCAAACAGGAUUAGAUACCCUGGUAGUCCACGCCCUAAACGAUGGAUACUCGACAUUUGCGAUACACAGUAAGUGUCUGAGCGAAAGCAUUAAGUAUCCCACCUGGGAAGUACGUUCGCAAGAAUGAAACUCAAAUGAAUUGGCGGGGGUCCGCACAAGCAGCGGAGCAUGCGGCUUAAUUCGACGCAACGCGAAGAACCUUACCAAGGCUUGACAUAUACAGGAAUAUGGCAGAGAUGUCAUAGCCGCAAGGUCUGUAUACAGGUGGUGCAUGGUUGUCGUCAGCUCGUGUCGUGAGAUGUUGGGUUAAGUCCCGCAACGAGCGCAACCCUCGUUCUGUGUUGCCAGCAUUAAGUUGGGGACUCACAGGAGACUGCCGGGGUUAACU